GACGGAGGAUGCAAGCGUUAUCCGGAAUGAUUGGGCGUAAAGCGUCCGCAGGUGGCAGUUCAAGUCUGCUGUCAAAGACCGGGGCUUAACUUCGGAAAGGCAGUGGAAACUGAACAGCUAGAGUAUGGUAGGGGCAGAGGGAAUUCCUGGUGUAGCGGUGAAAUGCGUAGAGAUCAGGAAGAACAUCGGUGGCGAAAGCGCUCUACUGGACCGCAACUGACACUCAGGGACGAAAGCUAGGGGAGCGAAUGGG
RNAcentral lists this ribosomal RNA (253 nucleotides) under uncultured bacterium. RNAcentral's name for it is "partial 16S ribosomal RNA". It matches the Rfam family "Bacterial small subunit ribosomal RNA", at positions 524 to 776 of the family's 1533-position model. The record is from RNAcentral.